AGGUAAGCUACUAAGAGCGAAUGGUGGAUGCCUUGGUUGGUAGAGGCGAUGAAAGACGUGCUAGACUGCGAUAAGUCUCGGGGAGUUGUCAAGGAGCUUUGAUCCGGGAAUUUCUGAAUGGGGAAACCCAGUAUAUAGUGAUAUAUACUACCUAUAUGGAGCAAACGUGGGGAAUUGAAACAUCUUAGUACCCACAGGAAAAGAAAUCAAAUGAGAUUACGAAAGUAGCGGCGAGCGAAAUCGUAAGAGGGCAAACCACUAGUUUACUAGUGGGGUUGUAGGACUGUAACAUAGACUAAAAAGAGUUAAUAGAAUAAUCUGGAAAGUUUAAGCAUAGAGGGUGAUACUCCCGUAUAUGAAAACUCUUUUUUACUUAACAGUAUCCUGAGUAGGGCGAGGCACGUGAAACCUUGUCUGAAUCUGGGAAGACCACUUUCCAACCCUAAAUACUACUACCAAACCGAUAGUGAACAAGUACCGUGAGGGAAAGGUGAAAAGAACGGGGGUGACCCGAGUGAAAUAGAACCUGAAACCAUUUGCUUACAAUCAUUCAGAGCACGAUUCUUUAUGACGUGUGAUGGACUGCCUUUUGCAUAAUGAGCCUGCGAGUUGUGAUAUCUGGCAAGGUUAAGGAAAUCCGGAGCCGUAGCGAAAGCAAGUCUUAAUAGGGCGUUUAGUCAGAUAUUGCAGACCCGAAACGAAGUGAUCUAUCCAUGAGCAGGUUGAAACCGGUGUAAGAGCCGGCGGAGGACCGAACCCGCUGACGUUGAAAAGUCUUGGGAUGACUUGUGGAUAGGGGUGAAAGGCCAAUCAAACUUCGUGAUAGCUGGUUCUCUCCGAAAUAUAUUUAGGUAUAGCGUUAUGUAGUAAUUAGAGGGGGUAGAGCACUGAAUGGGCUAGGGCAUACACCAAUGUACCAAACCCUAUCAAACUCCGAAUACCUUUAGUGUAAUCAUAGCAGUCAGGCGGCGAGUGAUAAAAUCCGUCGUCAAAAGGGGAACAACCCAGACUACCGACUAAGGUCCCAAAAUCUUAUUUAAGUGGAAAACGAUGUGAAGUUACUUAAACAACCAGGAGGUUGGCUUAGAAGCAGCCAUCCUUUAAAGAUAGCGUAAUAGCUCACUGGUCUAGUGAUUUUGCGCGGAAAAUAUAACGGGGCUAAAAUAAGUACCGAAGUCGUAGACUUAGUUUUACUAAGUGGUAGGAGAGCGUUGUAUUUAGCGUUGAAGAUGUACCGGUAAGGAGCGUUGGAGCAAAUACAAGUGAGCAUGCAGGCAUGAGUAGCGUUAAAUCAGGUGAGAAUCCUGAUCGCCGAAAACCCAAGGUUUCCUACGCGAUGCUCGUCAUCGUAGGGUUAGUCGGGUCCUAAGCAAAGUCCGAAAGGGGUAUGCGAUGGAAAAUUGGUUAAUAUUCCAAUACCAAUUAUUAUGUGCGAUGGAAGGACGCUUAAAGUUAGUGGAGCUAACUGAUGGAAUAGUUAGUCUAAGGUCGUAGGUUGAGUUAUAGGCAAAUCCGUAACUCUUUAUCCGAAAGCUUAAAGGCUUACAAAGCUCUUCGGAGUAGCGUAAGAAUCCAUGAUACUAUAGAGCCAAGAAAAGUUUCUAAGUUUAGUAAUAAUUGCCCGUACCGUAAACCGACACAGGUGGGUGGGAUGAGUAUUCUAAGGCGCGUGGAAGAACUCUCUUUAAGGAACUCUGCAAAAUAGCACCGUAUCUUCGGUAUAAGGUGUGCCUACCAGGGUGCAAGCCCUAGAGGUUACAACAAAGAGUCCCUCCCGACUGUUUACCAAAAACACAGCACUCUGCUAACACGUAAGUGGAUGUAUAGGGUGUGACGCCUGCCCGGUGCUCGAAGGUUAAUUGAUGGAGUUAGCAUUAGCAAAGCUCUUGAUCGAAGCCCGAGUAAACGGCGGCCGUAACUAUAACGGUCCUAAGGUAGCGAAAUUCCUUGUCGGUUAAAUACCGACCUGCAUGAAUGGCGUAACGAGAUGGGAGCUGUCUCAAAGAGGGAUCCAGUGAAAUUGUAGUGGAGGUGAAAAUUCCUCCUACCCGCGGCAAGACGGAAAGACCCCGUGGACCUUUACUAUAGCUUGACACUGCUACUUGGAUAAAGAUGUGCAGGAUAGGUGGGAGAUUAUGAUCUAUAGAUGCUAGUCUAUAAGGAGUCAUCCUUGAGAUACCACUCUUCUUUAUUCGGGUAGCUAACUAGCCUAAGUUAUCCUUAGGUAGGACAAUGUCUGGUGGGUAGUUUGACUGGGGCGGUCGCCUCCCAAAUAAUAACGGAGGCUUACAAAGGUUGGUUCAAAACGGUUGGAAAUCGUUUGUAGAGUAUAAAGGCAAAAACCAGCUUAACUGCGACACCGACAAGUGGAGCAGAGACGAAAGUCGGUCUUAGUGAUCCGGUGGUUCUGUGUGGAAGGGCCAUCGCUCAAAGGAUAAAAGGUACCCCGGGGAUAACAGGCUGAUCUCCCCCAAGAGCUCACAUCGACGGGGAGGUUUGGCACCUCGAUGUCGGCUCAUCGCAUCCUGGGGCUGGAGCAGGUCCCAAGGGUAUGGCUGUUCGCCAUUUAAAGCGGUACGCGAGCUGGGUUCAGAACGUCGUGAGACAGUUCGGUCCCUAUCUGCCGUGGGCGUAAGAAGAUUGAGGAGAGUUGACCCUAGUACGAGAGGACCGGGUUGAACCAACCACUGGUGUAUAAGUUGUCCUGCCAAGGGCACCGCUUAGUAGCUAAGUUGGGAUGUGAUAAGAGCUGAAAGCAUCUAAGCUCGAAGCCAACUCCAAGAUUAAUCUUCUUUUAAGAGCUCUUAUAGACUAUAAGUUUGAUAGGCUGGGUGUGUAAUUGAUGUAAGUCAUUUAGCUGACCAGUACUAAUAGCUCGUUUGCUUAUCUAU
Molecule: ribosomal RNA, 2891 nt
Filed under: Campylobacter ureolyticus
Lineage: Bacteria; Pseudomonadati; Campylobacterota; Epsilonproteobacteria; Campylobacterales; Campylobacteraceae
Description: 23S ribosomal RNA
Rfam family: Bacterial large subunit ribosomal RNA
Source: RNAcentral